Molecule: ribosomal RNA, 374 nt
Filed under: uncultured organism
Description: partial 16S ribosomal RNA
Rfam family: Bacterial small subunit ribosomal RNA
Source: RNAcentral
GGGGGGGGCAAGCGUUUGUUCGGAUUUACUGGGCGUAAAGGGCUCGUAGGCGGCCACCUAUGUCGGUUGUGAAAUCCCUCGGCUCAACCGGGGAACUGCGACCGAAACUGGGUGGCUAGAAGCCGGGAGAGGGAUGCGGAAUUCCAGGUGUAGCGGUGAAAUGCGUAGAUAUCUGGAGGAACACCCGUGGCGAAGGCGGCAUCCUGGACCGGUCUUGACGCUGAGGAGCGAAAGCUAGGGUAGCAAACGGGAUUAGAUACCCCGGUAGUCCUAGCCCUAAACGAUGAAUGCUUGGUGUGGCGGGUAUCGAUCCCCUGCCCGUGCCGCAGCUAACGCGUUAAGCAUUCCGCCUGGGGAGUACGGUCGCAAGGCUG